UGCGGGGUGGAGCAGCCUGGUAGCUCGUCGGGCUCAUAACCCGAAGGUCGCAGGUUCAAAUCCUGCCCCCGCUA
This 74-nucleotide transfer RNA is filed under the name Dissulfuribacter thermophilus. It matches the Rfam family "tRNA". Rfam says of the family: Transfer RNA (tRNA) molecules are approximately 80 nucleotides in length. Their secondary structure includes four short double-helical elements and three loops (D, anti-codon, and T loops). Lineage: Bacteria; Pseudomonadati; Thermodesulfobacteriota; Dissulfuribacteria; Dissulfuribacterales; Dissulfuribacteraceae. RNAcentral also lists the same sequence under 17 other names. The record is from Rfam by way of RNAcentral.